RNAcentral lists this ribosomal RNA (324 nucleotides) under uncultured bacterium. RNAcentral describes it as "bacterial SSU rRNA". It matches the Rfam family "Bacterial small subunit ribosomal RNA", at positions 28 to 334 of the family's 1533-position model. The record is from RNAcentral.
GAUGAACGCUGGCGGCGUGCUUAACACAUGCAAGUCGUGCGAAGCGCUUUUGCGGAUUUCUUCGGAUUGAAGCAACUGUGACUGAGCGGCGACGGGUGAGGUAACGCGUGGGUAACCUGCCUCAUACAGGGGGAUAACAGUUGGAAACGGCUGCUAAUACCGCAUAAGCGCACAGUACCGCAUGGUACCGUGUGAAAAACUCCGGUGGUAUGAGAUGGACCCGCGUCUGAUUAGGUAGUUGGUGGGGUAACGGCCUACCAAGCCGACGAUCAGUAGCCGACCUGAGAGGGUGACCGGCCACAUUGGGACUGAGACACGGCCCAA